UGAUGAAGGCCCUAGGGUUGUAAAGCUCUUUCACCGGAGAAGAUAAUGACGGUAUCCGGACGAAGAAGCCCCGGCUAACUUCGUGC
Molecule: ribosomal RNA, 86 nt
Filed under: uncultured bacterium
Lineage: Bacteria
Description: partial 16S ribosomal RNA
Source: RNAcentral